Molecule: long non-coding RNA, 290 nt
Organism: Pecten maximus
Lineage: Eukaryota; Metazoa; Mollusca; Bivalvia; Pectinida; Pectinidae
Exons: 2
Source: RefSeq, a predicted model, not a curated record
UACAUAUGUAAACAGAAAAUGGUGAAAACAUGCCCGUGGGGAACUGGCAACAGUAACGGCCGAUACCCUGAUAGAUUGGAGGGCGGUGUUGUAUAUUCUACAAUUCAUGGAACCUAAAACAUACAGCUUUGGAAGUUUUGUGAGCAGCAGCUUAAAUAAAGAGGCUAGAACAACAACUACAUAGAUAUGAGCUGCUGAAUUUGCACCAUGAACAACAAAAUACUACAUCUUUCUCAAGUGUUAUAUUGAUAGUGAAAUUAAGCAGAAAUAAAAUCGAUUGACAUCCUGAA